This 498-nucleotide long non-coding RNA is filed under the name Glycine max (soybean). Its description in RNAcentral is "long non-coding RNA (GMAX_LNC000440)". The record is from RNAcentral. Lineage: Eukaryota; Viridiplantae; Streptophyta; Magnoliopsida; Fabales; Fabaceae.
AAAGUCUGAUUUUUAUAUGGAAAAGUGUGAUCAAGUUGUGACUGUAAUUAAAACAAAACCCAUAAAUAAUCUAUAAUCGUUAGUCUCUAACGGUAACUCUAUUUAUAAUUGAAAUCAUCAACAAGUUCUUACUAAUUGUUACUUUGUUAGUUUAUUCAACAAAUGACAUAUAUCAUAUGACAUUGAUAGAAAAUAAAGGAAAAGAGAAGUUAAGUGAGCAAUAUAUAAGGUCACUACCACGACUUUCUGACGAUGCAAGAGUGAAAAUAUGUGGUGGCAUUGUGGGGUUGCUGCUCCUUCCUCGUUUUCUUGGGCAGGAAAUGACUCGUGAUCAUUGAUCAACCAACAAAACUCCACCUAAUGCAUUUGCAUUCACCUUUUCUGGUUUCCCCCAUUAGCAUUAUUUCACACACACAUAUAUAUAGUUACCUCACAUGUCAUUAAAUAAGAACUACUCGCAAUCAUUUUAUACACACAUAUAUCUAGGCAUAAGCAAUC